GCCGUCGUAGCUCAGUGGUGGAGCACCCGGCUGUUAACCGGGCGGUCGCCGGUUCAAAUCCGGCCGACGGCG
Molecule: transfer RNA, 72 nt
Filed under: Thermoplasmatales archaeon
Lineage: Archaea; Methanobacteriati; Thermoplasmatota; Thermoplasmata; Thermoplasmatales
Also listed under: 1 other name
Description: tRNA-Asn
Rfam family: tRNA
About the family: Transfer RNA (tRNA) molecules are approximately 80 nucleotides in length. Their secondary structure includes four short double-helical elements and three loops (D, anti-codon, and T loops).
Source: RNAcentral